This 208-nucleotide ribosomal RNA is filed under the name uncultured bacterium. RNAcentral's name for it is "partial 16S ribosomal RNA". It matches the Rfam family "Bacterial small subunit ribosomal RNA", at positions 568 to 774 of the family's 1533-position model. The record is from RNAcentral.
CGCGUAGGCGGUCCUGAAAGUCGGAUGUGAAAUUCCGGGGCUCAACCCCGGAGCUGCAUUUGAAACUUCAAGACUAGAGUUCAGUUAGGGUAAACGGAAUUCCACGUGUAGCGGUGAAAUGCGUAGAUAUGUGGAAGAACACCGGUGGUGAAGACGGUUUACUGGGCUGAUACUGACGCUGAGGCGCGAAAGCAUGGGGAAGCAAACA